This 45-nucleotide non-coding RNA is filed under the name Schistosoma mattheei. Lineage: Eukaryota; Metazoa; Platyhelminthes; Trematoda; Strigeidida; Schistosomatidae. The record is from RNAcentral.
AUCCAGCUGAUGAGUCCCGAAUAGGACGAAGCGCGCGUUCUAGAC